GAUGAACGCUGGCGGCGUGCCUAAUACAUGCAAGUCGAGCGAACAGAUGAGGAGCUUGCUCCUCUGACGUUAGCGGCGGACGGGUGAGUAACACGUGGAUAACCUACCUAUAAGACUGGGAUAACUUCGGGAAACCGGAGCUAAUACCGGAUAAUAUAUUGAACCGCAUGGUUCAAUAGUGAAAGACGGUUUUGCUGUCACUUAUAGAUGGAUCUGCGCCGCAUUAGCUAGUUGGUAAGGUAACGGCUUACCAAGGCAACGAUGCGUAGCCGACCUGAGAGGGUGAUAGGCCACACUGGAACUGAGACACGGUCCAGACUCCUACGGGAGGCAGCAGUAGGGAAUCUUCCGCAAUGGGCGAAAGCCUGACGGAGCAACGCCGCGUGAGUGAUGAAGGUCUUCGGAUCGUAAAACUCUGUUAUUAGGGAAGAACAAAUGUGUAAGUAACUAUGCACGUCUUGACGGUACCUAAUCAGAAAGCCACGGCUAACUACGUG
This 497-nucleotide ribosomal RNA is filed under the name uncultured bacterium. RNAcentral describes it as "partial 16S ribosomal RNA". It matches the Rfam family "Bacterial small subunit ribosomal RNA", at positions 28 to 507 of the family's 1533-position model. The record is from RNAcentral.